UAGUGAUAUGCUUGUUUCGAAGAUUAAGCCAUGCAAGUGUUAGUAUAAAUCGAAUGAUGAAACUGCGACAAGCUUAUUAGAACAGUUAGAAUCUACUUGACAAAGAUAUAUAUGGAUAUUUACGGUAAUUCUGUUAAUAAUACAUGCUUCAAGUCAAAUUGACUCGAACUUCAGGAAUUAUCACUCAUAUUAUGAGUGAGUGUGGAGUUGUAUUAAAUCACAAAUGUGAUAUGUUAAUCGACUUUCUGACCUAUCAGCUUCAGUUGGUAAGGUAGUGGCUUACUGAGGCUAUAACGGGUAACGGGGAAUUAGGGUUUGAUUCCGGAGAGGGAGCCUGAGAAAUGGCUACCACAUCUAAGGAUGGCAGCAGGCGCGCAAAUUACCCAAUCCCGACUCGGGGAGGUAGUGAACAGAAAUAACAACUCAGAGUUUAUACUUUGUGAUUGCAAUGAGCAGAUUGUAAAUUAAUCUGCAAGGAUCAAUU
Molecule: ribosomal RNA, 484 nt
Filed under: uncultured eukaryote
Lineage: Eukaryota
Description: bacterial SSU rRNA
Rfam family: Eukaryotic small subunit ribosomal RNA
Source: RNAcentral